This 465-nucleotide ribosomal RNA is filed under the name uncultured Klebsiella sp. Its description in RNAcentral is "bacterial SSU rRNA". It matches the Rfam family "Bacterial small subunit ribosomal RNA", at positions 338 to 795 of the family's 1533-position model. Lineage: Bacteria; Pseudomonadati; Pseudomonadota; Gammaproteobacteria; Enterobacterales; Enterobacteriaceae. The record is from RNAcentral.
CCUACGGGCGGCAGCAGUGGGGAAUAUUGCACAAUGGGCGCAAGCCUGAUGCAGCCAUGCCGCGUGUGUGAAGAAGGCCUUCGGGUUGUAAAGCACUUUCAGCGGGGAGGAAGGCGUUAAGGUUAAUAACCUUGGCGAUUGACGUUACCCGCAGAAGAAGCACCGGCUAACUCCGUGCCAGCAGCCGCGGUAAUACGGAGGGUGCAAGCGUUAAUCGGAAUUACUGGGCGUAAAGCGCACGCAGGCGGUCUGUCAAGUCGGAUGUGAAAUCCCCGGGCUCAACCUGGGAACUGCAUUCGAAACUGGCAGGCUAGAGUCUUGUAGAGGGGGGUAGAAUUCCAGGUGUAGCGGUGAAAUGCGUAGAGAUCUGGAGGAAUACCGGUGGCGAAGGCGGCCCCCUGGACAAAGACUGACGCUGAGGCGCGAAAGCGUGGGGAGCAAACCGGAUUAGAUACCCGGGUAGUC